ACCAUCGUUGUAAUUCAACUACAAAAACA
This 29-nucleotide transfer RNA is filed under the name Crotaphytus collaris. Its description in RNAcentral is "partial tRNA-Gln". Lineage: Eukaryota; Metazoa; Chordata; Lepidosauria; Squamata; Crotaphytidae. The record is from RNAcentral.